This 461-nucleotide ribosomal RNA is filed under the name uncultured bacterium. RNAcentral describes it as "bacterial SSU rRNA". It matches the Rfam family "Bacterial small subunit ribosomal RNA", at positions 1 to 507 of the family's 1533-position model. The record is from RNAcentral.
CAGUAGUCACGAGUUUGAUCCUGGCUCAGAACGAACGCUGGCGGCAUGCCUAACACAUGCAAGUCGAACGAGACCUUCGGGUCUAGUGGCGCACGGGUGCGUAACGCGUGGGAACCUGCCUUUAGGUUCGGAAUAACUCAGAGAAAUUUGAGCUAAUACCGGAUAAUGUCUUCGGACCAAAGAUUUAUCGCCUUUAGAUGGGCCCGCGUUGGAUUAGCUAGUUGGUGGGUAAAGGCCUACCAAGGCGACGAUCCAUAGCUGGUCUGAGAGGAUGAUCAGCCACACUGGGACUGAGACACGGCCCAGACACCUACGGGAGGCAGCAGUGGGGAAUAUUGGACAAUGGGCGAAAGCCUGAUCCAGCAAUGCCGCGUGAGUGAUGAAGGCCUUAGGGUUGUAAAGCUCUUUUACCCGAGAUGAUAAUGACAGUAUCGGGAGAAUAAGCUCCGGCUAACUCCGUG